UACGUAGGGGGCAAGCGUUGUCCGGAAUCAUUGGGCGUAAAGAGCGUGUAUGCGGCCCGAUUAGUCCGCUGUGAAAGUCGAGGGCUCAACCCUCGAAUGCCGGCGGAUACUGUCGGGCUAGAGUCCGGAAGAGGCGAGUGGAAUUCCUGGUGUAGCGGUGAAAUGCGCAGAUAUCAGGAGGAACACCGAUGGCGAAGGCAGCUCGCUGGGACGGUACUGACGCUGAGACGCGAAAGCGUGGGGAGCAAACAGG
This 253-nucleotide ribosomal RNA is filed under the name uncultured bacterium. RNAcentral describes it as "partial 16S ribosomal RNA". It matches the Rfam family "Bacterial small subunit ribosomal RNA", at positions 524 to 776 of the family's 1533-position model. The record is from RNAcentral.